Molecule: non-coding RNA, 303 nt
Organism: Microcebus murinus (gray mouse lemur)
Lineage: Eukaryota; Metazoa; Chordata; Mammalia; Primates; Cheirogaleidae
Source: RefSeq, a predicted model, not a curated record
GGAGCUGCUCAUCUGGGCAUAGGACCCUGGAUGGAGCACUUAAAGUACUUCAUGCCCUUGGCCGGUGUUUGGGUCAGGUAUGGGCACAUGACCCAAGUAAUCUGGUGCCCUAGGAGGUUCUACCUUCCAUCAAUCUGCCCAUCCUUACCCAUCCUGGAUUUCCUGCCCACUUCUACAGGAAGAACGCUGAAGAAUAUCAACCAACUAACUAGUUGAGGAUUUGACUAGAGACUGAAUUUUGACUUUAAACCUAAGAAAAUGAAGAUUUGAAGAUAAUUUCUCAAACCAGAAUUUGGCAAGGCA